This 372-nucleotide ribosomal RNA is filed under the name uncultured organism. RNAcentral's name for it is "partial 16S ribosomal RNA". It matches the Rfam family "Bacterial small subunit ribosomal RNA", at positions 527 to 896 of the family's 1533-position model. The record is from RNAcentral.
GUAGGUGGCAAGCGUUGUCCGGAAUUAUUGGGCGUAAAGCGCGCGCAGGCGGUUCUUUAAGUCUGAUGUGAAAGCCCACGGCUCAACCGUGGAGGGUCAUUGGAAACUGGAGAACUUGAGUACAGAAGAGGAAAGCGGAAUUCCACGUGUAGCGGUGAAAUGCGUAGAGAUGUGGAGGAACACCAGUGGCGAAGGCGGCUUUUCUGGUCUGUAACUGACGCUGAGGCGCGAAAGCGUGGGGAGCAAACAGGGAUUAGAUACCCUGGUAGUCCACGCCGUAAACGAUGAGUGCUAAGUGUUACGGGGGUUUCGCCCCCUUAGUGCUGCAGCUAACGCAUUAAGCACUCGCCUGGGGAUACGGCCGCAAGGCUG